UGCUGGGCAGGUGUAACGUGACUGGAACUGGCAAAUAAAAGACUUUCCCUCUUAACUAUAGAGUGUCAAUCCACAUGUAGACACAGCUGUGAAGGCCACUCCACACUAAAGAGUUAGGUACGAAUCAAAAGGUAUAUCAAUAUCCAUGCUUGCCACUAGGCUAGAAACAUCCGUCACCAUGGAUACUGAUAGACUCUUUGCCCUCUUGAUAUGGCACGUUCUCAUGCGUCAUCUCCUUGUAAAUACAGAGAGCAGCAUGAAAAGUAUGGAGACCAUCUGGCCUUUAGACUGGUGACGUGCUGCGGUGCUACUCUACUACACGAGAGGCAGAUAUACUGAAUGACAACUGAUGGUGGAAAUUGAAAAGAAAAUGGUCCAGGAUAAAACUCAAAUCUGGAAAGCACUUCUGAGAUGUUUGGAACCAGCUUGAUGGAGAAGUUUGUUUUUCCUGAAGUCCAUGCCUCAAACCAUUCAAUGCAUGAUAAAAGUGUGAGGAGGUGCAACAAAGUAUUAAUUGGUAUAUUUUUCCUCAUGCUCCCAACAUGUGAUGCAUGUCCUAUCCUUGAUCUGCAAAGAAUAAAAAAACUC
Oreochromis aureus is the source of this 588-nucleotide long non-coding RNA. RefSeq lists it as uncharacterized. NCBI's taxonomy places the organism in Eukaryota, Metazoa, Chordata, Actinopteri, Cichliformes, Cichlidae. The transcript is spliced from 3 exons. The record is from RefSeq and is a predicted model, not a curated record.